This 1345-nucleotide ribosomal RNA is filed under the name uncultured bacterium. Its description in RNAcentral is "bacterial SSU rRNA". It matches the Rfam family "Bacterial small subunit ribosomal RNA", at positions 28 to 1381 of the family's 1533-position model. The record is from RNAcentral.
GAUGAACGCUUGCGGGAGGCCUAACACAUGCAAGCCGAGCGGUAUUGUUUCUUCGGAAAUGAGAGAGCGGCGUACGGGUGCGGAACACGUGUGCAACCUGCCUUUAUCUGGGGGAUAGCCUUUCGAAAGGAAGAUUAAUACUCCAUAAUAUAUUGAACGGCAUCGUUUAAUAUUGAAAGCUCCGGCGGAUAGAGAUGGGCACGCGCAAGAUUAGCUAGUUGGUGAGGUAACGGCUCACCAAGGCGAUGAUCUUUAGGGGGCCUGAGAGGGUGAUCCCCCACACUGGUACUGAGACACGGACCAGACUCCUACGGGAGGCAGCAGUGAGGAAUAUUGGUCAAUGGGUGCAAGCCUGAACCAGCCAUCCCGCGUGAAGGACGACUGCCCUAUGGGUUGUAAACUUCUUUUGUAUAGGGAUAAACCUACCCUCGUGAGGGUAGCUGAAGGUACUAUACGAAUAAGCACCGGCUAACUCCGUGCCAGCAGCCGCGGUAAUACGGAGGGUGCAAGCGUUAUCCGGAUUUAUUGGGUUUAAAGGGUCCGUAGGCGGACUUAUAAGUCAGUGGUGAAAGCCUGUCGCUUAACGAUAGAACUGCCAUUGAUACUGUAAGUCUUGAGUAUAUUUGAGGUAGCUGGAAUAAGUAGUGUAGCGGUGAAAUGCAUAGAUAUUACUUAGAACACCAAUUGCGAAGGCAGGUUACCAAGAUAUAACUGACGCUGAGGGACGAAAGCGUGGGGAGCGAACAGGAUUAGAUACCCUGGUAGUCCACGCCGUAAACGAUGCUAACUCGUUUUUGGGCUUUAGGGUUCAGAGACCAAGCGAAAGUGAUAAGUUAGCCACCUGGGGAGUACGCUCGCAAGAGUGAAUCUCAAAGGAAUUGACGGGGGCCCGCACAAGCGGUGGAUUAUGUGGUUUAAUUCGAUGAUACGCGAGGAACCUUACCAAGACUUAAAUGGGAAUUGACAGCUUUAGAAAUAGAGCUUUCUUCGGACAAUUUUCAAGGUGCUGCAUGGUUGUCGUCAGCUCGUGCCGUGAGGUGUUAGGUUAAGUCCUGCAACGAGCGCAACCCCUGUCACUAGUUGCCAUCAUUCAGUUGGGGACUCUAGUGAGACUGCCUACGCAAGUAGAGAGGAAGGUGGGGAUGACGUCAAAUCAUCACGGCCCUUACGUCUUGGGCCACACACGUAAUACAAUGGCCGGUACAGAGGGCAGCUACACAGCGAUGUGAUGCAAAUCUCGAAAGCCGGUCUCAGUUCGGAUUGGAGUCUGCAACUCGACUCUAUGAAGCUGGAAUCGCUAGUAAUCGCGCAUCAGCCAUGGCGCGGUGAAUACGUUCCCGGGCCU